AUGACCUCGGAUCAGGUAGGGAUACCCGCUGAACUUAAGCAUAUCAAUAAGCGGAGGAAAAGAAACCAACAGGGAUUACCUCAGUAACGGCGAGUGAAGCGGUAACAGCUCAAAUUUGAAAUCUGGCUCCUCGGGGCCCGAAUUGUAAUUUGUAGAAGAUGCUUUGGGUCUGGGCCUGGCCUAAGUUCCUUGGAACAGGACGUCGUAGAGGGUGAGAAUCCCGUAUGCGGCUGGCGCCCGUGCCCGUGUAAAGCUCUUUCAACGAGUCGAGUUGUUUGGGAAUGCAGCUCUAAAUGGGUGGUAAAUUUCAUCUAAAGCUAAAUAUUGGCCAGAGACCGAUAGCGCACAAGUAGAGUGAUCGAAAGAUGAAAAGCACUUUGGAAAGAGAGUUAAACAGUACGUGAAAUUGUUGAAAGGGAAGCGCUGGCAACCAGACUUGGGCGCUGUUGAUCCGCUAGGGUUCUCUCUAGGGCACUCGGCAGUGCGCAGGCCAGCAUCGGUUUGGGGGGUUGGAGAAUGGCUGGUGGAAUGUGGCUGUCUUUGGGCAGUGUUAUAGCCACCGGUGGCAUGCAGCCUCCCCGGACCGAGGACCGCGCUUCGGCUAGGAUGCUGGCGUAAUGGUUGUCAGCGACCCGUCUUGAAACACGGACCAAGGAGUCUAACAUCUAUGCGAGUGUUUGGGUGUUAAACCCAUACGCGGAAUGAAAGUGAACGCAGGUGAGAACCCGCAAGGGUGCAUCAUCGACCGAUCCUGAUGUCUUCGGAUGGAUUUGAGUAAGAGCAUAG
Molecule: ribosomal RNA, 786 nt
Filed under: Podosphaera xanthii
Lineage: Eukaryota; Fungi; Ascomycota; Leotiomycetes; Helotiales; Erysiphaceae
Description: partial 28S ribosomal RNA
Rfam family: Eukaryotic large subunit ribosomal RNA
Source: RNAcentral